RNAcentral lists this long non-coding RNA (228 nucleotides) under Elaeis guineensis (African oil palm). RNAcentral's name for it is "long non-coding RNA (EGUI_LNC031409)". The record is from RNAcentral. Lineage: Eukaryota; Viridiplantae; Streptophyta; Magnoliopsida; Arecales; Arecaceae.
AUAUAAUUAAUUAUGUUUUCUAUAUCAUAUGCAUAUAUCAAAUGUUGUGGCUCUAACAGAUAGUUCGUAUUAUGAUACUGGUUACUUGAAAUCUUGAAAGAAAUAUAAUGUUAUACUAUAUUUACUUGAUAUGAUUAAGAUUUUGUAGGGUUCCAAAUGGUGCAGCGAAAGACUGGCAUUUAAAAUUUUUAUUCAAAACACCAAGUGCACCAAAAAUCCUAAUGCCCA